This 921-nucleotide long non-coding RNA is filed under the name Olea europaea subsp. europaea. The record is from RNAcentral. Lineage: Eukaryota; Viridiplantae; Streptophyta; Magnoliopsida; Lamiales; Oleaceae.
CUUUUUUCUUCUAUUCCGAAUAGGAGAGCAAUGAGUACAGGGAGUUCAAAGACAAAGACUAUAGAGAGAUAUACGACUAUCAGGUUCUGUUCGACGAUGCAUUUGACAAUGAAAAAUAUGCGAUGAUGUCGACGAAGCUGUGCAGGACCAACUUCACCGUGUUUGAAGAUAGUGCAAAUGACAAUCCGCGGAACGCAACGUCGAUAUAUGAGGAGAACAGUGGCUCUAGUGAUGAGAAAGACAAAUUAGACAAAUCUGCAUCAAGCAUGGACACCCAGCCAUAGGAGUGGAGAGAAACAUAGACCCGCCUAAAGUAAAAAUAAGGAGAAGAGAACUAAAAUAUCAGCAAGGGAUUUGUCGUACUCAGUUGAUCGAGCCAUGACUGCAAGUGAGAAAAUAGCAACAACACUUGACAACUUAGUCAGAUCCAAUGUGUCGGACAUGAAGACAUUCAUGAAGGAGUUGUUCGCGACAGGCAGACUGCAUAAAAAAUUGACCCCUACUUUAAGACGUGCAUGUUUCUAUCUUUAAAGAGAAAUAGGGAGGCUCUGGAGAUGAUGCGAAUGAAAAGAUGGAUUGGUUGGAGUGGAAUUGGCAAGAGCACAGGAAAGCGCGACCGUAGUGAAGACUGUGUAUGGGGUAGAAUAAAUUUUCCCCACAGCGGAGGAUCUCCACAAAAAUUAUUGUUGGGCUUUUUUCUUUUUCCGUUUCUCGGUAUGUGGUUUGUUAACCUUACAAUUUCGAGUUGUGUACUUUUUAAGAUUUUAUGUAUCCAUAUAUGUACCACCAACUACUGUGAUUUCAUGUCUAUGUAUACCCACUUGUUCCUUGGACUUAUUCAACAUUUGCCAUGAAUAAUUGUGAAUAUCUGACACCCCCAUCUACGGAAUUGCCAUCAAGAGUUGGGAGAAUCUCUUCAAA